CAGUCGCCGCGGUAAUACAGAGGGUGCGAGCGUUAAUCGGAUUUACUGGGCGUAAAGCGCGCGUAGACGGUUUGGUAAGUCAGAUGUGAAAUCCCUGGGCUCAACCUGGGAACUGCAUUUGAUACUGCCUGGCUAGAGUAUCGAAGAGGGAAGUGGAAUUUCCGGUGUAGCGGUGAAAUGCGUAGAUAUCGGAAGGAACACCAGUGGCGAAAGCGACUUCCUGGUCGAAUACUGACGUUCAUGUGCGAAAGCGUGGGGAGCAAACAGGAUUAGAUACCCCUGUAGUCCCUGUCUCUUAUAC
This 301-nucleotide ribosomal RNA is filed under the name uncultured bacterium. RNAcentral describes it as "partial 16S ribosomal RNA". It matches the Rfam family "Bacterial small subunit ribosomal RNA", at positions 509 to 807 of the family's 1533-position model. The record is from RNAcentral.